Molecule: ribosomal RNA, 486 nt
Filed under: uncultured bacterium
Lineage: Bacteria
Description: bacterial SSU rRNA
Rfam family: Bacterial small subunit ribosomal RNA
Source: RNAcentral
UUAACACAUGCAAGUCGUACGAGAAAUCUCCUGCUUGCAGGAGAGAGUAAAGUGGCGAACGGGUGAGUAACGCGUGGGUAAUCUACCCCCGAAUUUGGGAUAACAUUGCGAAAGCGAUGCUAAUACCGGAUGGCCUCUUGCAACUCAGGUUGUCAAGAUUAAAGGUGGCCUCUACAUGUAAGCUACCGUUUGGGGAUGAGCCCGCGUGCCAUUAGCUUGUUGGUGGGGUAACGGCCUACCAAGGCAACUAUGGCUAGCUGGUCUGAGAGGAUGAUCAGCCACACUGGAACUGAGAUACGGUCCAGACUCCUACGGGAGGCAGCAGUGAGGAAUCUUGCGCAAUGGGGGAAACCCUGACGCAGCAACGCCGUGUGAGUGAUGAAGGCUUUCGAGUCGUAAAGCUCUGUCAAGUGGGAAGAACCUGCCGGAUGUUAAUACCAUCAGGCACUGACGGUACCACUGGAGGAAGCACCGGCUAACUCCGUG